GGUUGAAUAGUUUAAAAAAAACUGUUGAUUGUUGAUCAGCUAUUAGGUUGUUGUGCCUUUCAACUU
This 66-nucleotide transfer RNA is filed under the name Lithophaga curta. RNAcentral's name for it is "tRNA-Asn". The record is from RNAcentral. Lineage: Eukaryota; Metazoa; Mollusca; Bivalvia; Mytilida; Mytilidae.